RNAcentral lists this ribosomal RNA (253 nucleotides) under uncultured bacterium. RNAcentral's name for it is "partial 16S ribosomal RNA". It matches the Rfam family "Bacterial small subunit ribosomal RNA", at positions 524 to 776 of the family's 1533-position model. The record is from RNAcentral.
UACGGGGGGGGCAAGCGUUGUUCGGAAUUACUGGGCGUAAAGGGCUCGUAGGCGGCCAACUAAGUCAGACGUGAAAUCCCUCGGCUCAACCGGGGAACUGCGUCUGAUACUGGAUGGCUAGAGUUUGGGAGAGGGAUGCGGAAUUCCAGGUGUAGCGGUGAAAUGCGUAGAUAUCUGGAGGAACACCGGUGGCGAAGGCGGCAUCCUGGACCAACACUGACGCUGAGGAGCGAAAGCCAGGGGAGCAAACGGG